UUUGAACUUGAUUUUUAUUUCCUUGUUUGUUGUCAAUUCUAUAAGUUCUUCUUCCAGCUGAGGUGACAUUGCUGUGUUGACAUUUGAAAACGGAUCCAACACCCAUUCUGGUAUUUCCAAGUUCAAAAUGUUCUGGUAUCGUUCGGUGAAGUCAAUGUGGAGGUUUUCCAAAUGUUGGCAGUAGGCAAACAAUUCGUUGUUACUGCAUGAUACUGAUAAAUUUGGAAAAUUGUGAAACUCACGUCUGCCCAGAUUCUUUUUGUGUAGAAGCAAAUUUAGUUUAUUGCCUUGCAGUUGGAGAUUCAUGUCGUUGAACAAUUUAUACAGGUCUGUCAUUUUAGAAGAACUCUAUAACAGAGUCAAACUGGUUGUAGAAUCGAGUCAGACAAUUGCCUCUUGAUAGCCAACGAACUUCAGUAUGAAACAACAAACGAUUGAAAUCCUCGUAACACAAAGCUGAUGAAAUAAUCUAUCAUUCAAAGAGCUGUUGCAAAUUUUAUUGACUGCUUUGAUGACACGUUGCAGUGAUUGAAAUAGUUUUUCACUUAAGUUUCUAGCAACUAAAUGUUGUCUAUGAAUAACGCAAUGUACACCAAGGACAUCUGAAAUUUUAUUUUUUAAGUGCGCUAUUAAGCCUUUAUGGCACCCUAUCAUAGCCGGAGCGCCAUCCGUAGCAAUUGAAAUAAUAUUUUUCAAAGGAAUCUCUUUCUCAUCGCAAAACUUCUCCAAUAUAUUGAAUAUGGUUUCGCCUUUUGUAUCGGUCUCUAAAUUUCUAGCAAAUAAUAGUUCUUCACAUAUUUUCUCAUCUUUAAUAAACCUCACGUAAGACAACAACAAUGCUUCAUUAGUUGGUAAAGUGAACUCAUCGAGCUGAAUUGAGAAUUGGCUUGUCCCCAGGUGAUCGCACAAUGAUUCUUCAAUGUUUUCAGCCAUUUCAUCAAUUCGUCUUUGCACAGAAUUAUUAAUCAAAGGAAUUUUUUGGAUAAUAUCUGCGGCCGGUUUAUGAAGCACGGUAGUUAUUACUUCAUUUAUUGCUGGCAAUAUUAACUCUUCUCCGAUGUUAUGUGGUUUGCCUUUUUGAGCAAUUAACAAAGAGAUAUUGUACGAAGGUCGAAGUCCGUCGUAAUGCAUAAACUCGUUUAUCUCAUUCGACGCUCAAUCGUACACAACAAGUCCGAACAAGUAUUCAAUGAACCAGUCGAUAGGACAGAUAUAUGAACUACGCGGAGAGAAAUAUAGAACCGAGUAUGAGCAAUCUUUUAAUUCAUAUUAGUUGAUGUUCACAUGUUGUUGUUGAGAGUCGAGAGCUCAUGUAGUCGUUGUCUAAGAGGCCUCCUAGCUAAAUAAAAUUACAAAUAACCCCCCCAGGCCUCUACACAACGCCCCCAUUUUCUUUCUGGGUCUCUUACCACCCCCCUUGACACCUGCAGCGCCCACAAGGGGCGUUAUCGCCCACUUUGGGAAACACUGUUUUAAAUGAUAAGAGUUGUGAUUUACAUAUAUUAUUAUUGUAAUAAGUAUAUUAUGUUUUUAGGAUAUUACGAUAAUAUAUCAUAUACAUAUAUAGCAUAUAUACAUGCAUACGAAAUUAUAUAAUAUUAUCAAAAAAAAGAAAUAUUUAAAAAGUAGCUUUUAUUUGGACAUUAACUACAAAUAUUACCAUGAAAAUAGCAUAAUUUAAUAAAAAUUGAUCGAUUUUGCAUGAAUUCACAAAAAUUCGCAAAAUUAUAUUCAUAUCAGUUGAUACGAUAACAUGUAAACGUAUAAAAAUAUAAGCCAAAAGGCCAACAUGGGUCUGUAAAAGCAAUGUAUAAUUCUGAGCAUAAUUUUCAUUGAAUGCUCAGCUCUGUUCGCUCAUCACUGUUAAAAUUUCUCCUUCUAGGCCAAAAGUGGUGAAAUCCACUAAUAGGAUUUUGUUAGCUCUUGACAGUUCACACGCCUGUCCGCAAUUGAACCUUCUCUAUAUUAUACGUUCUCUGCUGGAUACUAAGCUUAAUACUAUAAAAAUUGCCCCUAUUUAUAUUCACCAGUACAGUUCAAUUUUUAUAUUUUUCUGAGUUGGUAUAAAACAAUCGAUUGAGGUAUGUAUUAUAUAUUUUAUUGUUAGAGUUCUGAACUUGUCCCAAAAAAAUGGUAAAUCAAUUAAUCUAUCCUUUGAGUCUGGAAUGAUCAUCCGAAAAUUUUAACUUUAAAAUGUUAGCUAAAAAAUAGACAUUAAAAGAAAAUAUAAUAAUAAAAAAACGUGAAGAUUGAGAGAAAUAUUGAAAUCUAAGGCACGACUUCGAUUACUUUGGCAGAGGGGUAAAAAACAAGAAUUUGCGUAUAAAUGGGGUAUGUGGGGAUAGGGGAGCUUCUCCUGAGGAGGAAUAUGCAAAAAUAAUGUUUCUAACACUUAAGUUUAAGUAACAUGCUAAGCUUUUCAAAGAUUCUGUUCAUAUAUGUAGUAUGUCUGUACAUUUGUAUAUAUGAAUAAGUCAACAAUAUGAUGACUUGUCUACAAAACAGAAAAACUUGGACCCAAUUAUUUAGAAAGUUUGUACAGAAAGAGUACAAAGAAGACCAUAAAAUGAAUCUCAACCAAAUACGAAAUAAAAUAGUUAUUUACCUUCUUAGAAAAAGUUUUGGAGUCGGUCCAAAAUGUCUAUUUUACAAUGAACGUAGCAUACAGAUGCCACUUUAAUGGGUAGGGGAGCUAAAUAAUAUCAUAUAUACCUACUUAAAUAUCUGGAACUAGUCUCUCAGUUUUUGAGACAUCGCUCCGAAUUUUUGCAAAAGUCCAUUUCUAAAGAACAACUUUUUCAGAACGACCGAAAGCGAAUCACUACAGCAUAUUUUUGUCUUACAAAAUUAACGAUAAAAUUAAGAGUAGCUGCUAGCUAUCAGGAAGAAAAAAACUGACUCUCAUAAAGAGCGAAAUAACGAAAAAGUAUAAAAAAACUAGCAGGAAAAUAUCAAAAUGUGUUCAAAAAUCACUUCAAUUAAUUUAAAAUAGUUUUUUUCACAGUUCAAAGUAAUUAAAAUAAAAUAAAAAAUCAAAGAAAAUUCGUCAAAUUUUUCUUGGUUACACAUGUUUUUAACAGCUGUUUCAUCAUAAAGCUUAGUAUCCAGCUCUCAAGUAAUGUAAAAACUUCAUAUAAAAAAACGCUUAAGAAACGGUCAAGAAACUUUCCUGCGAUGAAUUUACAUGGUACUUUUUUCGCAAAUUUAAAAGAUCUCAUAGCAAAAUACAUAUAUUUGAAUGUAACUAAAUGUUAAUAGGCACAGAAGCACUUUUUAUUUUUCUUGUAAAUAGAAGCAUAUAUUAAUGGAUUUUAAA
Bactrocera dorsalis (oriental fruit fly) is the source of this 3316-nucleotide long non-coding RNA. RefSeq lists it as uncharacterized. NCBI's taxonomy places the organism in Eukaryota, Metazoa, Arthropoda, Insecta, Diptera, Tephritidae. The record is from RefSeq and is a predicted model, not a curated record. The transcript is spliced from 2 exons.